ACUUCCCUUUCACUCUUAUCCUCCUCACUGUGACACAACUGUUCUUUCAUUACAACACUCUAAAACCCCACACCAAAAAUAUCUCUCUAACCAAACCUCAACAGCACACACACUUCUUCUUCUUCCAACUUCUUUCUCCAAAACUGAAACCCUCUUUCUCAAAACGCAUUUCCCAAUUUCCCAAAACCCUAACCCUAUGGAGCUCUCGCGCCUCUUCGUUUCCGACACGUGCUUCCUCUCCCCUCCGAUUCGCUAUUCCUCUUCGCCCACGUUCUUCGCCGUCAACCUCCGCCGCCGGAGGAGGAGGAGCAGCUUCUGCUCCGCCUCCAACCCCGACACCUUAAUCGCCGGCGGCGAUGCCGUCGUGGCCGGCGUCGGGGAGAAGCACGAGGAGGACCUGAAAUCGUGGAUGCACAAACACGGCCUACCUCCGUGCAAUGUUGUUCUGAAGGAUAAACCUUGCCACAAUGAUUCGCGUAAGCCUAUACAUUACGUUGCAGCUAGUCAAGAUCUUCAGGUUGGUGAUGUUGCAUUCUCCGUUCCUAAUUCCUUGGUGGUUACCCUGGAGAGGGUCUUGGGAAACGAGACUGUUGCUGAGCUAUUGGCUACAAAUAAAUUGUCGGAAUUGGCAUGCUUGGCAUUGUAUCUGAUGUAUGAGAAAAAACAGGGGAAGAAGUCUUUCUGGUAUCCAUACAUCAGGGAGCUUGAUCGACAACGAGGUAGGGGCCAGCUAGCGGUGGAAUCACCUCUUCUAUGGUCAGAAUCUGAGUUGGAUUACCUGUCAGGAAGUCCAAUUAAGGCUGAAAUAAUUCAAAGGGAAGAAGCAAUAAGAAAAGAGUAUAAUGAACUUGACACAGUCUGGUUUAUGGCAGGUUCUCUGUUUCAGCAAUAUCCAUAUGACAUUCCUACGGAGGCUUUUUCAUUUGAGAUUUUCAAACAAGCCUUUGCUGCUAUUCAGUCUUGUGUGGUGCAUUUACAGAAAGUUAGUUUAGCUCGGAGAUUUGCUUUAGUUCCCUUGGGACCUCCUUUGCUGGCCUACCAAAGCAACUGUAAGGCAAUGUUAACUGCAGUUGAUGGUGCUGUUGAGCUCGCAGUUGAUCGCCCAUAUAAAGCUGGGGACCCUAUUGUUGUCUGGUGUGGCCCACAAUCUAACUCAAAGUUACUAAUAAACUAUGGUUUUGUUGAUGAAAAUAAUUCCAAUGAUCGUCUAAUAGUUGAGGCAGCUUUAAAUACUGAAGAUCCACAGUAUCAAGAUAAAAGAAUGGUGGCUCAAAGAAAUGGAAAGUUAUCAGUACAAGUUUUUCAUGUAUAUGUUGGGAAGGAAAGAGAAGCUGUCUUAGAUAUGCUUCCUUAUAUGCGUUUGGGCUAUGUUUCAGAUCCUUCUGAGAUGCAAUCUGUCAUCUCCUCUCAAGGUCCAGUUUGUCCUGUAAGCCCUUGUAUGGAACGGGCUGUGUUGGACCAGCUGGCUGAUUAUUUCAAGACACGACUGGCUGGUUACCCUACAACAUUGGCUGAAGAUGAAUUGAUGCUGACAGAUGGUAAUCUGAAUCCAAAGAAGCGAGUUGCUACCCAAUAUGUUAGGCUGGAAAAAAAAAUGCUCCAUGCCUGUUUGCAGGCAACCACUGAUUUCAUAAAUCAGCUACCAGACCACAGUAUAUCUCCAUGCCCUGCUCCCUAUGCCCCUUUAUUGAAAUGAAAGGAAUUGAAUGUCUGUACUGUACAACAUGGAUCGCAGAGUCAGGUCAGUCAAAUUAAAUACUGGAUAUGCAUUCUAUUAGAAAUCACCUGAAUUAGGGUAAUUUUAGUUUACCCUCUUCAUGCCUAUUUCAGGAUGUGGAUUAGACUUUUAAGGAUUUGAUACGAUUUCUAACUGCUUGAGUUGAUGCUUUUGCAUCAUGGACUAGGAUCUAGUUGUAGUAGUAGUGGAGUGGACUGAUAAUUCCUGUAUCUAAAGAAAGAACAAGGCAUGGCGUUUAAUUUUGAAAAACCAUGACACAUUGAAUAAUGUAAUUUCUGAAUACUAUGAUGGAUUGAUUUCGUAGGUCAAUUACAAGUUCAUAUAUUUGAAUCAUGGCUCAUUGAACAAUGAUGCAAGAGUGUCCCGGAUUAAAAUGGUUACAGGUGUGCUUUUCCGGUGAAGAUAAAAAUCCCAGUGAGUGUUUUCUGUGUGCCUCUUCAUGAAGGCGUUGCUUCAUUCCCUAGGUAGGAAAGGAAGCACCAUCACUUGGGAAAAUUUUUGUGUCUUACUGUAAUUGCACUGAUGGUUAUAAAUGAGUGUUGGAAUGAUACUCAUCUUUGUAAAUGGAAACCUGAAUCACAAAUUCUAAUUCAAUUGUGUAUAUAGUUCUAUGCAGUUCUCUGGAUUAUAUUGA
This is an RNA transcript of Cajanus cajan (pigeon pea), 2372 nucleotides long. It is a transcript of the gene named Rubisco methyltransferase family protein, with no coding region annotated. Lineage: Eukaryota; Viridiplantae; Streptophyta; Magnoliopsida; Fabales; Fabaceae. The record is from RefSeq and is a predicted model, not a curated record.